AGCGAACGCUGGCGGCAGGCCUAACACAUGCAAGUCGAACGAAGUCUUCGGACUUAGUGGCGGACGGGUGAGUAACACGUGGGAACGUGCCUUUAGGUUCGGAAUAACUCAGGGAAACUUGUGCUAAUACCGAAUGUGCCCUUCGGGGGAAAGAUUUAUCGCCUUUAGAGCGGCCCGCGUCUGAUUAGCUAGUUGGUGAGGUAAAGGCUCACCAAGGCGACGAUCAGUAGCUGGUCUGAGAGGAUGAUCAGCCACAUUGGGACUGAGACACGGCCCAAACUCCUACGGGAGGCAGCAGUGGGGAAUCUUGCGCAAUGGGCGAAAGCCUGACGCAGCCAUGCCGCGUGAAUGAUGAAGGUCUUAGGAUUGUAAAAUUCUUUCACCGGGGACGAUAAUGACGGUACCCGGAGAAGAAGCCCCGGCUAACUUCGUGCCAGCAGCCGCCGCAG
This 449-nucleotide ribosomal RNA is filed under the name uncultured bacterium. RNAcentral describes it as "partial 16S ribosomal RNA". It matches the Rfam family "Bacterial small subunit ribosomal RNA", at positions 29 to 523 of the family's 1533-position model. The record is from RNAcentral.